GUAUUCACAUCAAAGAUGAUACUGUCCAUUACCAGUAAGUAUGAGCCCUUAUUCAUUUUUUUUUUUAAUUUAGAUAUAAUGUGUAUUUAACCUCAGUAGUGAUAAAGGGACGUGCAUUUCCGGGGAACUUCUCCUGUUGCCCAUCUCCUUGGCCAUGAGAGUUCUCUUCUCCUUCUAGAAGAGAUUUUAGUACAUUUAACAAUGGCGUUGAGCUCAAGUUCUACCAAGACCCAUGUCGUGUUCUGUUUUCCCUGAUGACGGACGUGACCCAGGUUAUUUGUAAAUAAACUAUUUCUUUUUGCAGGUUAACAAGUUGUAUCCUGCCACUUGCUUGUUAUAAGUAUGUUUCUUAAGAUUCUAGCCGUCCUGACACCACAGUGAUAGACAGUGAUCGUCAGUAGGAACUUGCCGGUAACCAGCUAUGUGAUACUGUGGAUGUCACCAAUUAGUUGAGAUCAACUGUUCUUGAGAUAGGUUUAUGUGAAGCUCUCCUGAUUGAUAGGCUCAGCUAUCGUAUUUAGUGAGGCAUAUGGAAGUAUCUAGAUUAGUGGUGCCGUGGGCCUAAACCACAGCACAGAUCACGUGAUCCUAAUAUGUAGGUAAGUGAUUGUGUCCCUAACACUUCUGUUACUAUGAUUUUGUUGCUGGUGUUCAACUAAGAGAUGAUAGAGUCCUUACCAUGUCUAAGUGACCAUGACUUUACCCUUUUUAAAUUUUGGAGACCACUUACAUUUCAUCCUGUGAGUCUUGACAUUUGAAUGUAUCCCUAAUUGUCAAGGAGUUUGCAUGCCAAUUAAACACCAUAUUGUUGCGGGAGUCCAUGAUGGUCUCUCUGACAAAAGUGUUGACCCAGAUUAAUGGAAGCAUCAAAGUAGAGUUGAUGUGUUCCAUAAUAACGGAAGUGAAAAGGAUUAUCAGCAGGUGUUCUGGUGGAAGAGUUGUGUACUUAAACAUAUUUUUCCUAUGUGUCUCUUCAGAUGCUUGUCAAGAAAACCCAGUGAACCUCACAGUAUUCACUGAUGGAAGCUUGCUCUUGACCUGGUAUCCCGUUAAGGUCUUUGCUACUAAACGAUACAAGAUGAUGUGACGUUUUCUCAUUAGAGACAUUCUCAUUUUCAGGUUCCCAUCAAGAGCUCCUGGUGAACUUCCUCAUGGUUUUUACCAGCGCCAUCCUUGUCUUGCAGUAAGUGGUGAUGUGCCUUAAGCAUCCCCACCGACCUUCUGUCUUGAGAUGUCUAGGUAAGUGAUGAUAAUAUCACUAACACUUGUGUGACCACGGUUUUGUUUGGUUUUGUGUGUGUGUGUGUGUGUAAAAAUAGUACCUCAGACAAGUCUAGUAAGCAUUAUUAGCUCUCACAGGCUUAAGAGUUUAGGGGCACCUAGCCCAUCCGUGGAGCAUGUGACUCUUGAUCAUGGGUUGUGAGUUCAAGCCCCACCGUGGGCCUAGAGCUUACGUAAAAAUAAAUCAAUACAUAAGAGCUUAUGUUUAAUGUGU
This 1495-nucleotide long non-coding RNA is filed under the name Felis catus (domestic cat). RNAcentral describes it as "lncRNA (ENSFCAG00000050427.1)". Lineage: Eukaryota; Metazoa; Chordata; Mammalia; Carnivora; Felidae. The record is from RNAcentral.